Molecule: ribosomal RNA, 254 nt
Filed under: uncultured bacterium
Lineage: Bacteria
Description: partial 16S ribosomal RNA
Rfam family: Bacterial small subunit ribosomal RNA
Source: RNAcentral
UACGUAGGGCGCAAGCGUUGUCCGGAAUCAUUGGGCGUAAGGAGCUCGUAGGCGGCCUGUUGCGUCCGCUGUGAAAUCCCGGGGCUUAACCCCGGGCGUGCAGUGGAUACGGGCUGGCUGGAGGCAGGCAGGGGAGAACGGAAUUCCCGGUGUAGCGGUGAAAGUGCGCAGAUAUCGGGAGGAACACCGGUGGCGAAGGCGGUUCUCUGGGCCUGUACUGACGCUGAGGAGCGAAAGCGUGGGGAGCGAACAGG